Molecule: ribosomal RNA, 423 nt
Filed under: uncultured bacterium
Lineage: Bacteria
Description: bacterial SSU rRNA
Rfam family: Bacterial small subunit ribosomal RNA
Source: RNAcentral
UGAGGAAUAUUGGUCAAUGGACGCAAGUCUGAACCAGCCAUGCCGCGUGAAGGAUGAAGGCGUUCUGCGUUGUAAACUUCUUUUAUUGGGGAAGAAACCUAUUUUUUCUAAGAUAGCCGACGGUACCCAAGGAAUAAGCACCGGCUAACUCCGUGCCAGCAGCCGCGGUAAUACGGAGGGUGCAAGCGUUAUCCGGAUUUACUGGGUUUAAAGGGUGUGUAGGCGGACUUUUAAGUCCGUGGUGAAAUCUCCGGGCUCAACCCGGAAACUGCCAUGGAUACUAUUUGUCUUGAAUAUUGUUGAGGUGGGCGGAACGGGUCAUGUAGCGGUGAAAUGCAUAGAUAUGACCCGGAACACCGAUUGCGAAGGCAGCCCACUAAGCAAUGAUUGACGCUGAGGCACGAAAGCGUGGGGAUCAAACAG